This 113-nucleotide small nuclear RNA is filed under the name Marmota monax (woodchuck). RNAcentral's name for it is "U4 spliceosomal RNA". It matches the Rfam family "U4 spliceosomal RNA". Rfam says of the family: U4 small nuclear RNA (U4 snRNA) is a component of the major U2-dependent spliceosome. The record is from Rfam by way of RNAcentral. Lineage: Eukaryota; Metazoa; Chordata; Mammalia; Rodentia; Sciuridae.
AGCUUUGCGCAGUGGCAGUAUCGUAGCCAAUGAGGUUUAUCCGAGGCGCGAUUAUUGCUAAUUGAAAACUUUUCCCAAAAAUCAAAGCAAAUUAUACAUAUCCAAUAUACAGG